Molecule: ribosomal RNA, 301 nt
Filed under: uncultured bacterium
Lineage: Bacteria
Description: partial 16S ribosomal RNA
Rfam family: Bacterial small subunit ribosomal RNA
Source: RNAcentral
CAGCAGCCACGGUAAUACAGAGGGUGCGAGCGUUAAUCGGAUUUACUGGGCGUAAAGCGUGCGUAGGCGGCUUUUUAAGUCGGAUGUGAAAUCCCUGAGCUUAACUUAGGAAUUGCAUUCGAUACUGGGAAGCUAGAGUAUGGGAGAGGAUGGUAGAAUUCCAGGUGUAGCAGUGAAAUGCGUAGAGAUCUGGAGGAAUACCGAUGGCGAAGGCAGCCAUCUGGCCUAAUACUGACGCUGAGGUACGAAAGCAUGGGGAGCAAACAGGAUUAGAUACCCCGGUAGUCCCUGUCUCUUAUAC